RNAcentral lists this ribosomal RNA (207 nucleotides) under uncultured bacterium. Its description in RNAcentral is "partial 16S ribosomal RNA". It matches the Rfam family "Bacterial small subunit ribosomal RNA", at positions 568 to 774 of the family's 1533-position model. The record is from RNAcentral.
UGUGUAGGCGGUUUUGUAUGUCGGGUGUGAAAUCUCACCGCUCAACGGUGAAACUGCACUCGAAACUGCAGGACUAGGGUACAGGAGAGGAAAGCGGAAUUCUUGGUGUAGCGGUGGAAUGCGUUGAUAUCAAGAAGAACACCUGUGGCGAAGGCGGCUUUCUGGAAUGUUACUGACGCUGAGACACGAAAGUUGGGGUAGCAAACA